Molecule: ribosomal RNA, 302 nt
Filed under: uncultured bacterium
Lineage: Bacteria
Description: bacterial SSU rRNA
Rfam family: Bacterial small subunit ribosomal RNA
Source: RNAcentral
GUGAACGCUGGCGGCGUGGAUUAGGCAUGCAAGUCGAGCGAUCUUGUUCUUUUGCUGGAGCAGACAGUAAUGUCCGUUUUAGUAAAGGAGUAGGAUAGCGGCAAAAGGGUGUGUAACGCGUGAGUAAUCUGCCUCUAUGUCGAGGAUAGCCUUGCGAAAGCGAGGGUAAUACUUGAUGUUUUCGAGAAGCAUAAGCUUGUCGAGAUAAAGAUGCUUCAAAAGAGCAUUACAUAGAGAGGAACUCGCGUCCUAUCAGCUAGUUGGUAGGGUAAUGGCCUACCAAGGCUAUUGACGGGUAGCUG